AGUGACUGUUCACGUUUCGACGGUAUCUAACCAGAAAGCCACGGCUAACUACGUGCCAGCAGCCGCGGUAAUACGUAGGUGGCAAGCGUUAUCCGGAAUUACUGGGCGUAAAGGGUGCGUAGGUGGUUUCUUAAGUCAGAGGUGAAAGGCUACGGCUCAACCGUAGUAAGCCUUUGAAACUGGGGAACUUGAGUGCAGGAGAGGAGAGUGGAAUUCCUAGUGUAGCGGUGAAAUGCGUAGAUAUUAGGAGGAACACCAGUUGCGAAGGCGGCUCUCUGGACUGUAACUGACACUGAGGCACGAAAGCGUGGGGAGC
This 316-nucleotide ribosomal RNA is filed under the name uncultured bacterium. Its description in RNAcentral is "bacterial SSU rRNA". It matches the Rfam family "Bacterial small subunit ribosomal RNA", at positions 452 to 769 of the family's 1533-position model. The record is from RNAcentral.